Molecule: ribosomal RNA, 473 nt
Filed under: Comamonadaceae bacterium
Lineage: Bacteria; Pseudomonadati; Pseudomonadota; Betaproteobacteria; Burkholderiales; Comamonadaceae
Description: bacterial SSU rRNA
Rfam family: Bacterial small subunit ribosomal RNA
Source: RNAcentral
GCAAUGCCGCGUGCAGGAUGAAGGCCUUCGGGUUGUAAACUGCUUUUGUACGGAACGAAACGGUGAGCUCUAAUACAGCUUGCUAAUGACGGUACCGUAAGAAUAAGCACCGGCUAACUACGUGCCAGCAGCCGCGGUAAUACGUAGGGUGCGAGCGUUAAUCGGAAUUACUGGGCGUAAAGCGUGCGCAGGCGGUGAUGUAAGACAGAUGUGAAAUCCCCGGGCUCAACCUGGGACCUGCAUUUGUGACUGCAUCGCUAGAGUACGGUAGAGGGGGAUGGAAUUCCGCGUGUAGCAGUGAAAUGCGUAGAUAUGCGGAGGAACACCGAUGGCGAAGGCAAUCCCCUGGACCUGUACUGACGCUCAUGCACGAAAGCGUGGGGAGCAAACAGGAUUAGAUACCCUGGUAGUCCACGCCCUAAACGAUGUCAACUGGUUGUUGGGUCUUCACUGACUCACUAACGAAGCUAACG